This 2497-nucleotide non-coding RNA is filed under the name Pan troglodytes (chimpanzee). Lineage: Eukaryota; Metazoa; Chordata; Mammalia; Primates; Hominidae. The record is from RNAcentral.
GCAGACCACGUUAGAACCUCGGCUCCUGGAGUAGCAGAACCUCGGCUUCAAUGGGACCCUCAUUUCAUAAAUGAAGAAACUGAGAUUCAAAGAGGGGAACUACCGAAGGUUACAGAGCGAGUUCGUGGAUGGGGAAACUGAGCCUCACAUGUAUGAAUUCCAGCAUAUAAGCAACAGACUCCAGAUUUGGACAUGUAUAUCUUGUUCCAGACUUCCCAGAUGACCACCAAGGUGGAAGGGAUGAUGAUGUCCAGGCAGAAGGGAGCUAGGCCGGCCCAGGCUUUUCCUCUAGGCACAGCGGACUCCAGGUUCAGCCUUCCCGGAUGGUAAUGUUGCAUUCUGAAGAGCUACUUUCCCGCCAACUCAUCUCUGGACUUCUCUGGGGCCCAACUCUGGUUUCCUGCCUGCAGGAGGUCCCCUCUGACUUCCGACAGUAGAUGACCCUUCUGACUCACAGUUCUACUGCUGGGAAAUGCCUCCAGAGCUGCUGCCCACCCCCUCUGCAUCCCUCCAGGUCACUGGGUGUCGAAUCAGGGGAAGCAGGGAUACACACGGGCAGGAAACUCAGGCCUCCUAAAUGUCAGAGCCUCAGGACUUCGGCUACUCAGAAGUAGCUCCCUCCUGGGCCACCAGGGAGCAGCAGGGCAGCCAGCAUCCAGACAUCCCCCCUGGGCUCUGCUGCUCAGAGGCUAGAUGGAGAACCAAGGUGGGAAAAAGGCUUAAACCACAGCGUGGGGAGAUUUAGGUUAGAUGGGUCAGAGGAAGUUUAGGACAAGCCUUGCCCUUUUCAGUUUCUGUCCAGCUUCAGCACAGCCACUGCUUCCUCUCUUUGGUUUUUACCCAUCCCCCUCUCUCCCACCACCUCUAUCCCCUUCCAGCUUUCCUUUCCUUCCCUCCUUCCCAAACCCCAGAGUUUCUCAGGAUUAGCUGCCCAUGUGCCUAUCUCCCCCACCCCCAUGCUUUCCUCACUGUCUCACAGAAACAGGCAAAACACACACACAUGCAUACAACCAUGAGCUGGCCCUGAGAGUUCUCUGACUGGACUGGGGUUGGAGCCCCAGCUCUUGUCCUGAGCUGAGGCCCUUCCCCCAGGUAUCUUGGGGCUUCCAUCAUUUCUCUUGACAGGAGCUGUGGGUGUCUGGGCAGAUGGGAACCUGGGGGAGGUGUGGGGAGCCUUCUCUGAGGCAGGAAGCUCCCACGCUACUGUAGUUAAAAUACUCCGGCAGCAACUUGGGGCAGCCAUCUGGGAUGCCCAGAUCUUCCAGGACACCCAGCUCUCAACAACAACCCUAUAGGAACAAAUCAAAAACCUAAGAGAUACUUAUAGGCCCUGGAAAUGUCUCCCAAAAGUGGCCUGAACUUGAGCCCUGUUUCCUUUUAUCUUCUUCAGGUUAGCACUGGGCAUUGGCAUUUGCAAAAACUCUCUAAGCAUUAAGCAAAACUUGUAGGAGUGGAAGAUACAGCAUUCUGGACCUCCAGUCCUAAUACCCAGCCACACCCCAGCAGCUAUGCAUGGUUCCAUGGGAGAGCAGGCAUAGCCCAUCCUGCUGGCAUAUAGUCCAGCCAUAUCUUCCAAUGCCCACCUGGAGACUGAGCCCAGUUCUGCCCAGCAACAGGAGCUCAGAGCUCCAGAGAGCCUCUCCUGGGGUGCAGACUCAGGAGAUCUUAGCUCAGGAGCAGACUUAGCCUGACUUCCUCUUUUAUAGGAGGAGACAGACUUAGUUACAGAGGAAACCAGAGUUCUUAUAAAUAGCAAGGAAGGGAGAAAACUGCUAUGGAUUACAAACACGCCAUCAAUCUUAAAACAAACUAUUUUUAGUUUCAAAUAAUAACGAGAGUCUAAUUAAUGCUCUGUAUAACUUCAAAUGUGGGAUCUUUAUCUGCCUUUCUACUUUGUGAUGCUUUCUAAUACAGUAUUAGGGCCAAAGGCAGGAAGAGAUGUGGGCAAUUCUCAAUGUUACCAAAUCCUAGAUAUGGAAAGAACCUGAGAAAUUUAGUCCAGCCCUUUCAUUUUCAGUGAAGAAACUCAGGCCCAGAGAGGUAAAAGGACUUGUCCAAAGUUGCAUAGUAAGGUAGGGACUGAGCAGUGACUAAAAGCCUAGUCCCUGUACUCCAGAAGCAGGACAGUUUCCACAGCAGCACAAUAGAACCCAAAGGCUAAACAUCUGUGGUUGGGCAGUUGGUGAGUUUGUAGCCUGGAUAAAAGUCAGGUCUAAGCCAGGUGUGGAGGCUCACGCCUGUAAUCCCAGCACUUUGGGAGGCUGAGGCAGGUGAAUCACUUGAGGCCAGGAGUUUGAGACCAACCUGGCCAACAUGGCAAAACCUCAUCUCUACUAAAAAAUACAAAAAUUAGCCAGAUGUGACGGCACAUGCCUGUAAUCCCAGCUACUCAGGAGGCUGAGGCACGAGAAUCGGUUGAACCCGGGAGGUGGAGAUUUCAGUGAGCCGAGAUCGCACCACUGCACUUCAACCUGGGGGAAAAGCAAGACUCUGUCUC